Molecule: long non-coding RNA, 210 nt
Filed under: Phaseolus vulgaris (common bean)
Lineage: Eukaryota; Viridiplantae; Streptophyta; Magnoliopsida; Fabales; Fabaceae
Description: long non-coding RNA (PVUL_LNC001812)
Source: RNAcentral
UCUCACCAACUUGAUCGUUAGAGUGUAAUCGAUAGGUGGAGUUCCUCUCACUAUGAAUUAUUAGCAUCUCAAAGCAGCAACAACAAAAAAGAAAAGUCAACCCAAAGUCCACCAAUAAGGUCCGAUCCAGGUCAGCCGGCGAGAACAUUUGACAUCCACCGUGGGACCUAGUAAAAGCUGAAACUGAUCCCACCUACAUUUAUAGUUGAG